GCGAGUUACGAUCUGAUGCAAGGUUAAGCAGAAAAUGUGGAGCCGUAGCGAAAGCGAGUCUGAAUAGGGCGAAUGAGUAUUUGGUCGUAGACCCGAAACCAGGUGAUCUACCCUUGGUCAGGUUGAAGUUCAGGUAACACUGAAUGGAGGACCGAACCGACUUACGUUGAAAAGUGAGCGGAUGAACUGAGGGUAGCGGAGAAAUUCCAAUCGAACUUGGAGAUAGCUGGUUCUCUCCGAAAUAGCUUUAGGGCUAGCCUCAAGUGAUGAUUAUUGGAGGUAGAGCACUGUUUGGACGAGGGGCCCCUCUCGGGUUACCGAAUUCAGACAAACUCCGAAUGCCAAAUAAUUUAACUUGGGAGUCAGAAUGUGGGUGAUAAGGUCCAUAUUCGAAAGGGAAACAGCCCAGACCACCAGCUAAGGUCCCAAAAUAUAUGUUAAGUGGAAAAGGAUGUGGCGUUGCCCAGACAACUAGGAUGUUGGCUUAGAAGCAGCCAUCAUUUAAAGAGUGCGUAAUAGCUCACUAGUCGAGUGACACUGCGCCGAAAAUGUACCGGGGCUAAACAUAUUACCGAAGCUGUGGAUUGUCCUUUGGACAAUGGUAGGAGAGCGUUCUAAGGGCGUUGAAGCAUGAUCGCAAGGACAUGUGGAGCGCUUAGAAGUGAGAAUGCCGGUGUGAGUAGCGAAAGACGGGUGAGAAUCCCGUCCACCGAUUGACUAAGGUUUCCAGAGGAAGGCUCGUCCGCUCUGGGUUAGUCGGGUCCUAAGCUGAGGCCGACAGGCGUAGGCGAUGGAUAACAGG
Molecule: ribosomal RNA, 802 nt
Filed under: Staphylococcus pseudintermedius
Lineage: Bacteria; Bacillati; Bacillota; Bacilli; Caryophanales; Staphylococcaceae
Description: partial 23S ribosomal RNA
Rfam family: Bacterial large subunit ribosomal RNA
Source: RNAcentral